ACCUGUGUGGUGUAGUGGUUUGAGUGUUGGAUUAUGACUCUGUAGAACAGGGUUCAAAUCCCCACUGAGGGG
This 72-nucleotide transfer RNA is filed under the name Phrynosoma platyrhinos (Desert horned lizard). RNAcentral describes it as "tRNA-OTHER". Lineage: Eukaryota; Metazoa; Chordata; Lepidosauria; Squamata; Phrynosomatidae. The record is from RNAcentral.